This 308-nucleotide ribosomal RNA is filed under the name uncultured bacterium. RNAcentral describes it as "partial 16S ribosomal RNA". It matches the Rfam family "Bacterial small subunit ribosomal RNA", at positions 505 to 807 of the family's 1533-position model. The record is from RNAcentral.
GAGACAGCAGUCGCCGCGGGAAUACGUAGGGUGCAAGCGUUAAUCGGAAUUACUGGGCGUAAAGCGUGCGCAGGCGGUUCGCUAAGACAGAUGUGAAAUCCCCGGGCUUAACCUGGGAACUGCAUUUGUGACUGGCGGGCUAGAGUAUGGCAGAGGGGGGUAGAAUUCCACGUGUAGCAGUGAAAUGCGUAGAGAUGUGGAGGAAUACCGAUGGCGAAGGCAGCCCCCUGGGCCAAUACUGACGCUCAUGCACGAAAGCGUGGGGAGCAAACAGGAUUAGAUACCCCGGUAGUCCCUGUCUCUUAUAC